RNAcentral lists this long non-coding RNA (1486 nucleotides) under Sus scrofa (pig). RNAcentral describes it as "lncRNA (ENSSSCG00040073218.1)". The record is from RNAcentral. Lineage: Eukaryota; Metazoa; Chordata; Mammalia; Artiodactyla; Suidae.
CCCUGGGAAUGAGAACCUGGCCCAGAGAGGGGCUGCUUCGGCCCAGUGUCACACAGCUUAGUUCUGGAGCCCUGGGAGCCAGUGCUGCACGGAUGUCCCAGAUGUGGCCCAGCGCUCAGGGCUGCAUCCAGGGUAUAGCCUCAGGUAAUAACACUGCAGGUCCCUGGCUAGGCCUCAUUUGUUCCCUAUUCACCUGCACCCCUCUGGCAGCUGGGCUGGGCCCUGGAUGGCCACCUUGUCCUCUGAUGAUAGGAAAGGCCCGCCGUCCUGGCAGCUCUGACAGCUGCAGUCAGUGGUUGAAGGGGAGCAAGCAAGGGGACAACCUCCAGCUACCCAAGGCAUCCCGUGUGUACACCUUGCCAAGACUAGCCUGGGAGACAAAGCCUGGGGUGCUAGAGACUAGGUGUCUAGCCUUGGCUGUGUGACCUUGGGAAGGUCACUUAACCUCUCUGAGCCUUAUUGGCAAACAGAAGUAUACAGCAGGAUUAUUGGAAGAAAAACAAGGGAACAUUAACAAAUAUGCCCAGCCUGUUACAUGUUGCUUCCUGGCCAGAAAGCUCAAUAGCUGGCGAGUGGAGUCCACACUGGCAGCUGCCAGCUGCUCAAGACAGGGUGGGGAGGGGACAUGCCUCCUGGAGGGACCAGCCUGAGAAUGACUUGAUAGCAAAUCCUCCAAAUGGGAGGAAGAUAAGCCCCUUCGGCUAACAUGUAGAACCCACAUCUUCCUAUGGGAGCAUCUGUCCUUUCACCCCAUUUCCCACCCCUGCUAAGAACGAGCAUUUAUUGAUCACUUACUGUAUGCUCAAGUGUGCAGACUCAUUUAAUCCUCACACAAAUGUCACCUGCCACCAAGCCAUCAGCCACUGCACCCCCCCCAUGGUGCACCCUGGGGGGAAUGUAAGAUGGAGAAAAUAUGGAUACUGGCCCUAGGUAGUCACAAUGCGUAUUUAAGGAGUAAUUUCAAUGAGCCCAGACUCUUACAUCUUCCUAUACAUAGAAAAGCACUAAAAUCAUUAACUUGAGCUGUUUAUUUUGUGUGAUUAGCAUAAUCUUCUGGUGUCUGACUACAUGUUUUUUUAUUUUCAGCAAAAACUCCUGGAGUUCUCAUUGUGGCUCAGCAGGUUAAGAACACAACUAGUAUCCAUGGGGAUGCGGGUUUGAUCCCUGGCCUCGCUCAGUGGGGUAAGGAUCCGGUGUUGCCACAAGCUGUAGUGUAGGUCACAGAUGCGGCUCAGAUCAGGAUCCGGUGGGGCUGUGGCUAUGGUUCAGGCCAGCAGCCCUAGCUCUGACUCGACCCCUAGUCUGGGAACUUCCAAAUGCUGCAGGUGUGGCCCUAAAAGGAAAAAACAAACACACAAACAAAACCCCUCCUAUACCCUGGCCCCUUCUUUACUUCUUUGGAGCAGUUCUUUGAAGCUGUCUGAGAGGCUGUCACCCAGGCUGUAGUCCUCAGUAAGCUCCCCGAAUAAAACUUGUAGGUCAUACA